UACGAAGGGGGCUAGCGUUGUUCGGAUUUAUUGGGCGUAAAGCGCGUGUAGGCGGCCACACAGGUCCGUUGUGAAAACUCGAGGCUUAACCUCGAGACGUCGAUGGAAACCGUAUGGCUAGAGUCCGGAAGAGGAGAGUGGAAUUCCUGGUGUAGCGGUGAAAUGCGCAGAUAUCAGGAAGAACACCCGUGGCGAAGGCGGCUCUCUGGGACGGUACUGACGCUGAGACGCGAAAGCGUGGGGAGCGAACAGG
RNAcentral lists this ribosomal RNA (253 nucleotides) under uncultured bacterium. RNAcentral describes it as "partial 16S ribosomal RNA". It matches the Rfam family "Bacterial small subunit ribosomal RNA", at positions 524 to 776 of the family's 1533-position model. The record is from RNAcentral.